Anolis carolinensis (green anole) is the source of this 3483-nucleotide long non-coding RNA. RefSeq lists it as uncharacterized. The record is from RefSeq and is a predicted model, not a curated record. The transcript has 2 exons. NCBI's taxonomy places the organism in Eukaryota, Metazoa, Chordata, Lepidosauria, Squamata, Anolidae.
UGAGCAUCACCCCCCAGAGUCGGACUCAACUAGAUUUAAUGUCAAGGGGAAACCUUUACCUUUACUUAUUAUGGGAUCUGCUCUGUGAAAUUUGUGGGUCUUCAAACUACAGGAACUUUUAUGAUGAACAGGGAGUCAGCGUGGUUGCCCAUUUUACCAGGGAUGUUCCACUUUCCCAAAAUACCUCAUUCUCAGCUGUGGUGGCUGACAGCAAAGGUUCGUGGGCAGGGAUGCUUUGUGCAUAUUGUGUUUGCUUCGUCAAGUGCCACUGAUGCUAAUGGCACUAAAUGAACAACAAGAAAAAUAAUUAUAUACUCUGAUCCUUGCCUCGAGGGAAAUGUACCAAAGUUGAUGGUGGGGUAGCUGGGGAGGAAGGGAGAGUUGGCAGAGAGAGGUUAAGUGAGUAUGAACAUGUGGAAAUAUUGUUACAUGUACUUUGCCUUCCUUGUAAUUGGGAUUGUGGAGCUCAGCCCAAAGGCUUAAUGGGAGAGUUUGAAGGAAGAGUGUUGGCAGCAGGUGUUCUGGGAGGCAGUUCCAGAUACAAAGGACCUCAAGGUGUUUUGGAGUGCAGGUAAUGUUUUGGCAAAUGGGAGUGGUGAAAGAAGAGCAAAGGCCACAGGCAGGGAUCAGGUUGGAAAGAAUUUGCUUCCUAAGUUGAAGGAUAAUAUGUCUUCCCUUGCUUCAUUUCAUAGAUGCUCUGUGGCCAAUAUACAAUAUAAUAUGCAAUAAUAUAUAAUAAUAUAAUAUAUUGUAUAUACAUAAUAACAUUGAUAAUAAUAUUACAAUGUAAUACAAAAUAAUACUAACAAUAAAAUAUAAUAAUAUUAAUUAUAUAUUAUAUAUUACAUGUAAUAUUACUAAAAAUAUUACAGUAUAGUGGUAUAGUUCAAUAUAGUAAUAUAUAAUGCUAAUAUUAUGCUAUGCUAAUAAUAUAAUAUAAUUGGGCCCCUGGUGGUGGCGCAGUGUGUUAAAGUGCUGAGCUGCUGAACUUGCAGACCGAAAGGUCCCAGGUUCAAAUCCCGGGAGCGGAAUGAGCGCCUGCUGUUAGCCCCAGCUCCUGCCAACCUAGCAGUUCAAAAACAUGCCAAUGUGAGUAGAUCAAUAGGUACCGCUCCGACGGGAAGGUAAUGGCGCUCCAUGCAGUCAUGCUGGCCACAUGACCUUGGAGGCUUCUACGGACAACGCCGGCUCUUUGGCUUAGAAAUGGAGAUGAGCACCAACCCCUAGAGUCGGUCACGACUGGACUUAACGUCAGGGGAAAACAUUUACCUUAAUAGUAUUAAUAAUAUUACAGCAUAGUGGUAUAGUUCAAUAUAGUAAUAUAUAAUGUUAAUAUUAUGCUAUGCUAAUAAUAUAAUAUAUUGUAUAUACAUAUAAUUUGUAAGCCGCUCCGAGUCCCCUUCAGGGUGAAAAGGGCGGCAUAUAAAUGUAGUAAAUAAAUACAUAAUAAAUAGAGAGAACACCCGGAUUAGUAGUCAUUAUAGCAUUGGUUGUGGUAAUCUUUACUUCAUUUGAAGACAACAGACCUUUUUCACGUGGCGUAGUACAUGUGGUGAUGCAAACUCAGCUCUGUCUCCCAAUAUUUGGUGGACAUUCUACAUCCCACAGUAGCCAACAUCUGAGACAUAUCCAUAUAUCCAUCUGAGACAUAUUUGGUUGCUUUGGACUUUUAACUCCCAAAAUUCCUGACUGUUGGCCAAGCUGGCUGGGACUUUUGGGAGUUGUGUUCCGAGACCAAGGUUUGUGAACCACUGAGUUAAACACUCCUCCAGCACCUUAUUUCAAAUGAGCUGAUUUUUUUCCUGGCUUGGUUGAGAACUAUUUCAGAUUUGGACUCUCCUAGUCCAAGCCAGCCCAAUGACCAUUGUUUGACCACACAACCAACCCACACUGUUUUGUGAACUCUAGUUGGCUAUUGUAAAUUAAUGUGGAUGUUUUAGAUUGUAUGUUAUUAUCUAAUUUUGUUUGACUAUGUCUAGUUUAAUUUAUUGGUGUUAAGUUUAACUUAAGCAGAGGCUGGAUGGCCAUCUGUCGGGGAUGCUUUCAAUGUGAUUUUCCUGCUUCUUGGCAGGGGGUUGGACUGGAUGUAGUAAAAAGGAAAAAAGGAAAAGUAUGGUAUAUAUUGUACUUUAAAGUAAGUUAUAGUUCUAUAUUUCCUCAAGUGAUAUAAUCACAUAUAUUAUGACUGUAAUAUCAAUUUAUAUAUUCCAAUUGUACAGAUAAGUACAUAUUUCAAUGUCCAAUUUUAACAAAUACAAUCUUGAUAGUGUUCUCAAGGUUUGUAGUACUCUUCUUCAAAUUCGAUCAUUCAAAGUAAAUCAAAGUUCCAUGUAUUCUAAUCCUCAGAUCCUCAGAUCACGAAUUAGAAACAUUAGAACACAGAUCACGAAUUAGAAAAGGAAACACAGAAUCCACACUAUACUUACACUUUAAAGACAACACUCAUUCCUGUAACGACCUUAAGUACCUUGCCUUAGAAAAACUACAGACUCCAUUAACACUGACAUCAAGAAGUUACUCCUCUGCGGGGAGGCUUUUUGGAUCCACAAAUUGAAGACCUUAACCCCAUAAGGCCUAAAUGAUAGGCUAGAUCUCACCUGCUUCUUAUAAUGGGAUAAAAAAAUACUUAAGUCUUUACAGAACUACUGCUGAAUGCUCGCAACCUGAGGUAGAAUACUACAUGUAAGGAUCCUCCAAGGACAUAAAUAAGACAGCAGAGCAGCAAACAGAGGGAACUCCAGGAUUACCUGAAGAAGGUCUACCUGAAGAAGGUCACCGAAACUGGAUGCAUACCCGGGAGACCAGUCGUUACUAUUGACAUGGAACUUUGUUGCUAUUGAUAUGGAACUUUGAUUUACUAUUGACAUGGAACUUUGAUUUACUUUGAAUGAUUGAAUUUGAAGAAGAGUACUACAAACCUUGAGAACACUAUCAAGAUUGUAUUUGUUAAAAUUGGACAUUGAAAUAUGUACUUAUCUGUACAAUUGGAAUAUAUAAAUUGAUAUUACAGUCAUAAUAUAUGUGAUUAUAUCACUUGAGGAAAUAUAGAACUAUAACUUACUUUAAAGUACAAUAUAUACCAUACUUUUCCUUUUUUCCUUUUUACUGUAUAUAAUAGACAUCUGUGCAUAUAGUUGGUUGGACUGGAUGGCCUAUGAGGUGUAUUCCAACUCUAUGAUUCUACUGCUGUUAGGUUUUAAUUUGAUGUUAGCUUUUAAUGUUACUUUCAUAUGGGGUAUUUCUCUGGGAUUUGUUUGUUUUACGGAAGCAUUGAAUGUUUGCCGUUGUAUGUUGGAAUCCACCCUGAGUCCCCUCGGGGAGGUAAGGUGGAAUACAAAUAAAGUUUUUGUUAUUAUUAUUGAUGAAGUAAAGGGCAGUAGUAAAAGUCUUUUGCAGGAUCUGACCCGUUUUGUUGAUGAUAAAAGUAUAUUGAAGAUCUCUCAUCCACAGAGUUGUGAAAAAUUAAAGCGUGUUUGAUGGCAA